UACGAAGGGGGCUAGCGUUGCUCGGAAUUACUGGGCGUAAAGGGAGCGUAGGCGGACAUUUAAGUCAGGGGUGAAAUCCCGAGGCUCAACCUCGGAACUGCCUUUGAUUCUGGAUGUCUUGAGUGUGAGAGAGGUGAGUGGAACUCCGAGUGUAGAGGUGAAAUUCGUAGAUAUUCGGAAGAACACCAGUGGCGAAGGCGACUCACUGGCUCAUUACUGACGCUGAGGCUCGAAAGCGUGGGGAGCAAACAGG
This 253-nucleotide ribosomal RNA is filed under the name uncultured bacterium. RNAcentral describes it as "partial 16S ribosomal RNA". It matches the Rfam family "Bacterial small subunit ribosomal RNA", at positions 524 to 776 of the family's 1533-position model. The record is from RNAcentral.